This 425-nucleotide ribosomal RNA is filed under the name uncultured Oxobacter sp. RNAcentral describes it as "bacterial SSU rRNA". It matches the Rfam family "Bacterial small subunit ribosomal RNA", at positions 355 to 794 of the family's 1533-position model. Lineage: Bacteria; Bacillati; Bacillota; Clostridia; Eubacteriales; Clostridiaceae. The record is from RNAcentral.
UGGGGAAUAUUGGGCAAUGGGGCGAAAGCCUGACCCAGCGACGCCGCGUGAGGGAAGAAGGUCUUCGGAUUGUAAACCUUAGUCAACAGGGAAGAAGAAAGUGACGGUACCUGUGGAGGAAGCCACGGCUAACUACGUGCCAGCAGCCGCGGUAAUACGUAGGGGGCGAGCGUUGUCCGGAAUUACUGGGCGUAAAGGGUGCGUAGGCGGUUUGGUAAGUUGGAUGUGAAAUACCGGGCUUAACUUGGGGGCUGCAUCCAAUACUGCUGAACUUGAGUGCAGGAGAGGAAAGCGGAAUUCCUAGUGUAGCGGUGAAAUGCGUAGAUAUUAGGAGGAACACCGGUGGCGAAGGCGGCUUUCUGGACUGUAACUGACGCUGAGGCACGAAAGCGUGGGGAGCAAACAGGAUUAGAUACCCUGGUAGU